This 447-nucleotide ribosomal RNA is filed under the name uncultured bacterium. RNAcentral describes it as "bacterial SSU rRNA". It matches the Rfam family "Bacterial small subunit ribosomal RNA", at positions 355 to 825 of the family's 1533-position model. The record is from RNAcentral.
UGGGGAAUAUUGGACAAUGGGCGCAAGCCUGAUCCAGCCAUGCCGCGUGAGUGACGAAGGUCUUCGGAUUGUAAAGCUCUUUUGCCAGGGACGAUAAUGACGGUACCUGGAGAAUAAGCCCCGGCUAACUUCGUGCCAGCAGCCGCGGUAAUACGAAGGGGGCUAGCGUUGUUCGGAAUUACUGGGCGUAAAGCGCACGUAGGCGGAUAGUUAAGUCAGGGGUGAAAUCCUGGGGCUCAACCCCAGAACUGCCUUUGAUACUGGCUGUCUCGAGGUCGAGAGAGGUUGGUGGAAUUCCUAGUGUAGAGGUGAAAUUCGUAGAUAUUAGGAAGAACACCAGUGGCGAAGGCGGCCAACUGGCUCGAUACUGACGCUGAGGUGCGAAAGCGUGGGGAGCAAACAGGAUUAGAUACCCCCGUAGUCCCUGAGCGGGCUGGCAAGGCGCAU